GGCACAGUGGCUUAGUGGUUAGCAUGUUUGUCUUGAGCCUCCAGGGUUGGAGUUUCGAUUCCUGCCUCUGCCC
Non-coding RNA from Pangasianodon gigas (Mekong giant catfish), 73 nucleotides. NCBI's taxonomy places the organism in Eukaryota, Metazoa, Chordata, Actinopteri, Siluriformes, Pangasiidae. The record is from the annotation of a GenBank genome assembly.